ACGUAACAGUUUCUUUGGUAUCAUCAUCUACCCGAUUCAUUUCCUCAACUUUUAUUUAUUUUGCUGCUGAAGAAAAAUAUGUUGUGGGAGUGGGUCUUUAAUGUUGUUGAAACGUUAUUGACGGUGGAAAAUGCUAUGUUGGGUCAAGGGAAAGAAAUAUGGAUCGACAGGUAGAGGAGAGGAUUCUGCCUGGGGAAGCUAGGCCGAGUGGCAGGCUGGCUGGCAGCCAAGGCAUUGAGAAUUCGUUGGCAUGGUGGGAGAGAGGGAUGAGUGCCACUUGUUGGAUGCGGUAACGUGUCUUGUUCCC
RNAcentral lists this long non-coding RNA (307 nucleotides) under Coffea arabica (coffee). RNAcentral's name for it is "long non-coding RNA (CARA_LNC002512)". The record is from RNAcentral. Lineage: Eukaryota; Viridiplantae; Streptophyta; Magnoliopsida; Gentianales; Rubiaceae.